This is a small nuclear RNA of Marmota marmota marmota (Alpine marmot), 106 nucleotides long. The record is from Ensembl. NCBI's taxonomy places the organism in Eukaryota, Metazoa, Chordata, Mammalia, Rodentia, Sciuridae.
UUGCUUGCUUUGAAAACACAAAUACUAAAAUUGGAAUGAUACAGUGACAAUUAGCAUGUCCUUGUUCCUGGAUAACACACAAAUUUGUAAAGUGUCCCCUUAGUUA